Molecule: long non-coding RNA, 2838 nt
Organism: Monodelphis domestica (gray short-tailed opossum)
Lineage: Eukaryota; Metazoa; Chordata; Mammalia; Didelphimorphia; Didelphidae
Source: Ensembl
GGGUCUUUGGGUCCUUUCUUCCUGGCUCCAAGUGGGAGUCUUGGGUCUUUGGGUCCCUUUCUCCUGGCAUCAGGUGAGAGGCCUGGGUUACUUCUUCCUGUCCCCAAGUGGGAGUCUUGCGUCUUCUGGUCACUUUUUCCUGGCUCCUCAGGUCCUUUCUUCCUGGCAUAAGCUGGGAAGGCCUGGGUCCCCUCUUCCUGGCAACAGCUGGGAUGGCCUGGGUCCCCUCUUCCUGGCAACAGCUGGGAUGGCCUGGGUCCCCUCUUCCUGCCAUCAGCUGGGAUGGCCUGGGUCCCCUCUUCCUGCCAUCAGCUGGGAUGGCCUGGGUCCCCUCUUCCUGCCAUCAGCUGGGAUGGCCUGGGUCCCCUCUUCCUGCCAUCAGCUGGGAUGGCCUGGGUCCCCUCUUCCUGCCAUCAGCUGGGAUGGCCUGGGUCCCCUCUUCCUGCCAUCAGCUGGGAUGGCCUGGGUCCCCUCUUCCUGCCAUCAGCUGGGAUGGCCUGGGUCCCCUCUUCCUGCCAUCAGCUGGGAUGGCCUGGGUCCCCUCUUCCUGCCAUCAGCUGGGAUGGCCUGGGUCCCCUCUUCCUGCCAUCAGCUGGGAUGGCCUGGGUCCCCUCUUCCUGCCAUCAGCUGGGAUGGCCUGGGUCCCCUCUUCCUGCCAUCAGCUGGGAUGGCCUGGGUCCCCUCUUCCUGCCAUCAGCUGGGAUGGCCUGGGUCCCCUCUUCCUGCCAUCAGCUGGGAUGGCCUGGGUCCCCUCUUCCUGCCAUCAGCGGGGAAGGCCUGGGUCGCCUCUUCCUGGCAUCAGCGGGGAAGGCCUGGGUCGCUUCUUCCUGGCUCCGAGAUGCCUGGGUUGCUUCUUCCUGGCUCCGAGAUGCCUGGGUCGCUUCUUCCUGGCUCCGAGAUGCCUGGGUCGCUUCUUCCUGGCUCCAGGUGGGAGUCUUGGGUCUUUGGGUCCCUUUCUCCCGGCAUCAGGUGAGAGGCCCGGGUCAUUUUCUGGCAUCAGGCGAGAGGCCUGGGUCACUUCUUCCUGGCUCCAAGUGGGUGUCUUGGGUCUUUGGGUCCUUUCUUCCUGGCUCCAAGUGGGAGUCUUGGGUCUUUGGGUCCCUUUCUCCUGGCAUCAGGUGAGAGGCCUGGGUUACUUCUUCCUGUCCCCAAGUGGGAGUCUUGCGUCUUCUGGUCACUUUUUCCUGGCUCCUCAGGUCCUUUCUUCCUGGCAUAAGCUGGGAAGGCCUGGGUCCCCUCUUCCUGGCAACAGCUGGGAUGGCCUGGGUCCCCUCUUCCUGGCAACAGCUGGGAUGGCCUGGGUCCCCUCUUCCUGCCAUCAGCUGGGAUGGCCUGGGUCCCCUCUUCCUGCCAUCAGCUGGGAUGGCCUGGGUCCCCUCUUCCUGCCAUCAGCUGGGAUGGCCUGGGUCCCCUCUUCCUGCCAUCAGCUGGGAUGGCCUGGGUCCCCUCUUCCUGCCAUCAGCUGGGAUGGCCUGGGUCCCCUCUUCCUGCCAUCAGCUGGGAUGGCCUGGGUCCCCUCUUCCUGCCAUCAGCUGGGAUGGCCUGGGUCCCCUCUUCCUGCCAUCAGCUGGGAUGGCCUGGGUCCCCUCUUCCUGCCAUCAGCUGGGAUGGCCUGGGUCCCCUCUUCCUGCCAUCAGCUGGGAUGGCCUGGGUCCCCUCUUCCUGCCAUCAGCGGGGAAGGCCUGGGUCGCCUCUUCCUGGCAUCAGCGGGGAAGGCCUGGGUCGCUUCUUCCUGGCUCCGAGAUGCCUGGGUUGCUUCUUCCUGGCUCCGAGAUGCCUGGGUCGCUUCUUCCUGGCUCCGAGAUGCCUGGGUCGCUUCUUCCUGGCUCCAGGUGUGAGUCUUGGGCCUUUGGGUCCCUUCCUCCUGGCAUCAGGUGAGAGGCCUGGGUCACUUCUUGGCUCCAGGUGAGAGGCCUGGGUCACUUCUUGGCUCCAGGUGAGAGGCCUGGGUCACUUCUUGGCUCCAGGUGAGAGGCCUGGGUCACUUCUUGGCUCCAGGUGAGAGGCCUGGGUCACUUCUUGGCUCCAGGUGAGAGGCCUGGGUCACUUCCUGGCUCCAGGUGGGAGAACUGGCUCCUCGGGUCCUUUGCUCCUGACUCCUCGGGUCCUUUGCUCCUGACUCCUCGGGUCCUUUGCUCCUGACUCCUCGGGUCCUUUGCUCCUGACUCCUCGGGUCCUUUGCUCCUGACUCCUCGGGUCCUUUGCUCCUGACUCCUCGGGUCCUUUGCUCCUGGCAUCAGCUGGGAGGCCUGGGUCCCUUCUUCCUGGCAUCAGCUGGGAGGCCUGGGUCCCUUCUUCCUGGCAUCAGCUGGGAGGCCUGGGUCCCUUCUUCCUGGCAUCAGCUGGGAGGCCUGGGUCCCUUCUUCCUGGCAUCAGCUGGGAGGCCUGGGUCCCUUCUUCCUGGCAUCAGCUGGGAGGCCUGGGUCCCUUCUUCCUGGCAUCAGCUGGGAGGCCUGGGUCCCUUCUUCCUGGCAUCAGCUGGGAGGCCUGGGUCCCUUCUUCCUGGCAUCAGCUGGGAGGCCUGGGUCCCUUCUUCCUGGCAUCAGCUGGGAGAACUAGGUCCUUGGGUCCUUUCCUCCUGGCUCCAGGUAGGCGGCCUGGGUCACUCUUCCUCUCUCCAGUUGGGAGUCUUGGAUCUUCUGGUCCCUUCCUCCUGGCUCCAAUUGGGAGUCUUGGAUUUUUUGGUCCCUUCCUCCUGGCUCCCGGGGGGAGUCUUAGAUCUUCCGGUCCCUUCUUCCCGCCUCCAGUUGGGAGUCUUGGGUCUUCUGGUCCCUUUUUCCUGGCUCCAGGUGGGAGGCCUGUGUUCCUUCUUCAUGGCUCCAGGUGGGAGGCCUGUGU